Molecule: non-coding RNA, 2216 nt
Organism: Equus caballus (horse)
Lineage: Eukaryota; Metazoa; Chordata; Mammalia; Perissodactyla; Equidae
Source: RefSeq, a predicted model, not a curated record
GAGCAAGCAAACUUAAUCACUAUGCCACCAGCCCCAGACCGGCAUGUUGGAUUUUAGUUUUAAAUGUUAACUCUUUGUGUAUCUUCUAUUUCAGUCACUUUCUCUCUGACCAUUUUUACUUCUUCAUCUAAUUUUCAUUUUUUUUUAUUUUGUGCUUUUCUUCAAUGUCCUUUAUUAAGUUUUCAUUGGAAUCUAUUCUUCCUUAGGUGUCUUUCAGUUUAAUCUCUAUUUAUGAUACUAUUUUGUUAUUUCUUGUCUGCGAUCAAUUCUCACUUAAUUUCUUUCUUUUUUCCAGUCUCUUUCUGUUAUUUGUUUUUGUAUUUCUGAUGUGAGGUAUUUGUCCACAUCUCCAAGUGCUUAUUUGAGGAUAUUUAAUUCAGUUUGGAGUGUUGUGUUAUAGUUUUCUUCAGCUCUAUGCUUGGUUUUGGGGGAGAAUUCUGAUCAGUCAAAAUGCUCUGAUUUGCAUUUCUCUUCUUUUUUCCCUGUAACAGUAGUUUUGAGUGCGUGUGUUCCGCCUUCUUCCACCCCAUUCACUCAAUGACAGCAUUCUUCAUUCGAGCACACCCGACGCUGUCCCUGAUCAGCAUCCUUUAUGAAUGGGUGAGAAUGUGGACACAGAGACAGACACGACACGGGGAGAACACCAAGUGAAGACGAAGGCAGAGCGCGGGAGUGCUUCUACAAGCCAAAUAGCGCCGAAGAUGGCCAGCAAGCCACCAGAAGCUAGGCAAGGGGCCUGGAACAGAUUCUUCCUCACAUCCCUCAGAAGGAACCAACUCUGCUGACACCUUGAUCUCAGACUUCCAGCCCCCAGAACUGUGACACAAUAAACUUCUGUUGUGUAAGCAAGCCCAGACUGUGGUACUUUGUUCCACAGCCCUGGCACUAACACACUCGCGUAGGAGAGGGAUGCCUGUGUGAGCCCCCUAAUCUGGACUGGAAGUCAGUAAGAGCUUCCUAGAGGAGGUAAUGCUGAGCUGGGCAUUGAAGGAUGGGUAGGAGUUUUUCAGGCAGAGAAGUCAGGAAAGAGCACUCUAGGCAGAGGAAAGAACAUGUGCAAAACCCAGGAGGAGGCGUGAGUCUAUGUCAGGGACUCUUCCUAGAACCUCUUUGAAUUUCCAUACUCCUGCCUGACCCCCAAACCCCUGAGCCCUGGAAACCCUCUGCCCACACCCUGUGCUCCAAGAUAAGGGAAAAAUUACUUUUACCGAGAGGCCGCUUGGUGACGUGCACUGCUCUCACCAGCAGGGGGUGCGCACACGAGCACAUGGAUGAGGGAAGAUGGGCACAGGCAGAGGAACCUCCUGGCAUUUGUCAGGAUCCAAGGCCUCUGCUCUGGGGAGGAGGUGCAGCCAGCCCUGACAACGCUAGGGUGGGCAGCUCUGUGCUGGCCGAGGGCCCUCCCAGAUCCCCACAGACACGCCACCCUUGGAGGCCACACACUCAGUCACACGGCCCUUGGUACAAGUACUUUAUUACAGUUACAAUAGUGCCACACCAAAACUACAGUAGCACAGAACAUAAUAAUACAAAAAAUAGAUUCCCAGCUCCAAACCCACAUUCAUGGACCCACAGAGAAGCCAGCCCUAUGCCUCUGGCUCUAAGGGGAGGGGUCUCUCGGAAGGCAGCGGCCCAUCCCUCAGCCUUUUCAAAGCUCUGGAAGGGUAGGGGUAGGAGUAGCGGGGGACGCUUCCUUUGCUUCCAUCCCUGCUGGGCCUGCGCCUUCCUCUCCCCGCCCCCCUCCCCCUCCCCCUCCCCCUCCUGAAGCAGCGAGUGCAGCCUCUGUGCCCUCUGGCUGGACCCUCAGCCCUAGGACGCUUGCUUCUGGCUGGGAGGUCCCAGUAUGGUGCAGACCGACACUCUGGAGGCUGUGACCCUCCACGGGGAAGGAGGGUCGGGGGAGAGCAGGCCGGGCAGGGUCCAGGACUGGGAAAGCUACCUCUAUGUGGCAAGGUGCGUGUGGCGGGCUCCUGCCCCUAGCUCCUUCUCCGGCUCUGGUCCUACCUUUCCUCUGAAGAGCCACUAGGCCUGCUGCUUGGGGGACCACGGCCUUAUCUGGAGCCCACCUCCACUGCCCCUGCCCCAGCUCUGGGGCUGAUGUGAAGGUGGGUGAGGCAGUGGCUGAGCUGUCUGCUCCUCUCUGGCAAGGAGGAGUCUGGCUUCCUGGGUGAUGCAAGUGCACUGUGGCAGUGGGGGCUGGCCGGGGGUCUGGCCUG